AAAAAAAAAAAAAAAAAAAUCACACAGAACCUUAUUUAUGAACAAACCCCAUCCGGAGGAAGGGAGGACGCAACCCACCUUCUAGACAAGGAAGGAGGUUCCCCCUACCCAGAUGUGGCAGAAGAACCGCUGGAUGACAAUCAAAAUGAAGAUCGACUGUCCCAGAUGAAAAACAGAAAAAAGCUAGAGAGAACCCCAAGGAUGAGUUCCUACGAUGAUUUUGGACUCUAAUAAUAGGUCG
RNAcentral lists this unclassified non-coding RNA (241 nucleotides) under Hevea brasiliensis (rubber tree). Lineage: Eukaryota; Viridiplantae; Streptophyta; Magnoliopsida; Malpighiales; Euphorbiaceae. The record is from RNAcentral.